Long non-coding RNA from Oncorhynchus kisutch (coho salmon), 388 nucleotides. RefSeq lists it as uncharacterized. The record is from RefSeq and is a predicted model, not a curated record. NCBI's taxonomy places the organism in Eukaryota, Metazoa, Chordata, Actinopteri, Salmoniformes, Salmonidae. The transcript has 3 exons.
CAGUUCCCAAACCCACAAUCACUUAUACCUGCAACUCCAACAAAACCUCCUGCAUUCUAACCUCUGAAGGCAACGCCACUGGUGCUGAACGCGUCACCUACAGCUGGAAAGUGGGAGAGGGGGCGUGGGAGGUCAUAGGAAAACAGCUGAUUGUCUCUAAGAGCGACACUGGCAAAUCAACCAACAGUUACAAGUAUAUCUGCAAGCUGAAGAACUCUGUUAGUGGGGAAGUCAGUGAGCCAGUUGGAGAGGUGUUUGGUCCAGAGCCUUCUGAAAUUGGUGGUGGGGUUGUUGUUGGUGUUGUCUUUACCAUUGUAGCGCUUGUUGCCGUCAUAACAGUUUGGUUGGUGUGGAAGAAAAUUAAAGGUAGGAUGAUUCUCUGGCUCUU